Non-coding RNA from Ovis aries (sheep), 73 nucleotides. The record is from Rfam. Lineage: Eukaryota; Metazoa; Chordata; Mammalia; Artiodactyla; Bovidae.
UCCCUGGUGGCCCAGUGGUUAGGGCUCCGCACUGGCACUACAGGGGGCUCAGGUUUGAUCCCUGGCUGGGGAA